This is a non-coding RNA of Macaca mulatta (Rhesus monkey), 2497 nucleotides long. The record is from RefSeq and is a predicted model, not a curated record. Lineage: Eukaryota; Metazoa; Chordata; Mammalia; Primates; Cercopithecidae.
GAUCAGCCGGAACAGCCAACUCCGCCCGCGGCCCUCAAAAGUAGGCGGCGCAGGGAGUCUCCGCCCCCUUCGCCACCGGCGACUCAAACCAAAACAGCUGGGUUUCUCUCCGCAGAGGCAAACCCCAGCGUCCUUCUCGGACGCGACCUACGUGUUUUCUCAGCUUACUGCGCCGGUAACACCCACAGGGACCUCAAAACAGUCAUCCCAGAGUUGAGCCUUGGACACCAGAAGCUUUUCCUUCGGGGGUCGCCAGCGUCACUCGUCCCCAGCCAAAGGGCACCCGUCCCACACGCCUCCCCCAAAUCGCGAAGACCUGUCCCGCGGGCCUCCCUCCGCGUGGGGCGGCCACCCGUUGCUAUUCCAAAACUCUACGGCUGAUCCGAGUCGCCCACACCCCCGUCACAAUCGCAGUCCGGAAGGGAAGGUUUGUUCUCGGGAAGGAAAGCCUCGUCACCACUGAGACCUCUCCCGAGACCGGCCAGGCCCCUACAGUACAGGGGCAGAGGGGUGUAGCACGAGCCCUAAAAGAGAUGCAGCUGGGGUCCGACCCGCACAAGGUGCUGGGGUGGACCGGGGAGGCGCCUUACCCAGUGGAAAGACUCCCGGACCAAGGGAGAAAGUUACACAGGCUUCCGAUCCUGAUCCGCCAUCAGCCGCUGAACCUCUUCCGCCACCACCGCCUACCCCCAAAGACCGGCUACACCUACCCUCACAGCCGACAGUAGGCCUUGCGUCACUUCCGCCCACGGGGCGGUCUCUUCCGCCUCCUGGAGGGUUCGCCCCGCCGCUCCGCGACGACACGCCCCCAGCCUACUGCGCCGCGGGACGCGAAGCUGGACCCAGGCGUGCCUCCUCUCGCAGGCCGAAUGGUUCUCUCCUUCGUUCGUCUUUGCCAUUUUCGCUCAGCAAGUUAAUCGCAGAAAAACAAUGCGUCUGGAUUUACAUUCUGAUUGUAUGUUAUUAUUUUGACAUACGAAAUGGGGAAACACACCAGAGAUUUAAGUAACUCAACCGCGAUGUGGAAAGGGCAGCUCAGAGGUCCAUGAACAGUACCGUGUCCCUGCCUGCGUCUCAGUCGGCCUAAACUAACCCACCGAUUUUAUAGAUAAGGAAAUAGCCAGAGAAGCAAGGGAGUUACCACACGGCUAGGGCUGCAAACACCUAAACUCCAGGAUUGUCUCUCAACUCCUGGCCCAGUCCUGUGCUUUUUUGACUACGAAGUUUUGUUCACUGAAAGCUCCUAGGAGCCUUUCAGUUCUAAUGCCGUCUGAUUCUAUUUGCUCUCGCUCCAGCAGAGAGGCCUCUUUUCUACCCGCAUUUUUGUGAGUUACCGGCUUUUGUUAGCCAUAUCAUUUUCCGUGUGUGAAUUUUGUCCCGCGUUCUGUUAUUUCUAAAAUCACUUUUGCCUUUUGUAUGUAUUGCCUUCCUAUAUUAGACAUUCAGUUUGAAUCCUAACUUCACAGAAGCCAGUGUGUCCCAUUCGAAUUCAUCAUAUUCGUCUGUUGCCAUAAAACCCUGAUAAAACUUGCAAUAGCACCUGAAAGAUCUCAACACCUCCCACCUUCUCAGGAACUCUACAUCAUCUCUUUUUUAUAUUCAAGACCCCCAUCUCCACGAGAUCUUUUCCGUUGUCUUUUCCGUUGCAUUUCUAGCAAGAUGCAGAGGGCAGAUUUCUAGCAAGUUCCAGAUGGUAGAUUUCUGGCAAGUUCCAGAAGGUACCCUUCACAGGUUUAACAGCCCCACCCCUCGGGCACCAAGCAGUCUUAUCCAGGGGGAAAAAAAAAAAAACUGAUUCUCAGUAAUAAUCUCUGUGCCUACGAGAAACUUAGUGCAAGUCUUAGGAUCUCAAAAAAGGACCUACGAGCAUAAAGUAAUGAGUCUGUCAAGCGAGGUUUCCAUGCAUGGGGGGAGGAUCUCUUUAAGUAAGGAACCUUCCUUGUGCUUCUUUAAGCACAGUUGCUAUCAUUCUGGAAGAAGCUCCUUUUAACCCAUAUCUUCUUCCAACUAGCAUCCUAUUUUUUUUCUUUCCUUCCCAGCUGAACUUCUUAAGAAUCAAUCUAUAUGAUGUGAUAAUAUAUUUGAGAUAUUAACCUAUUUUUCUUGGUAUUUUCCCCUUCUAUAGCUUGCCACUUUCCCAACCUUCACCCAUAGAUAUAUUGCCUUGAAGAAAGGACGUAGAAGGAAAAUCUUUCUGGCUUUUGUUUCCAGAUUCUCGAACCCCACAAAUGGGGAGAGGAUUCAGGCUGCAGAGAAAUGGCUUGAGGAGAAGCCAAGGGCAGGGGUAUGUAGGUGGAGGGAGAACAGCCAGCAUUUUCCUCCCCCUCAACUCUAGAAACAGAUUUCUCUGGGCCAGAGAGGAUGGGAGGGUACCUCUAGGUGGACAAAAGCACACAGCCCGUUUAACCUUCCUAGGUCUCCAAGACAUCCCCUACCCUAUCUUAGUACAGAGCAAUAUUUCAAAAUCCUGACAAAACUAGAAUGGAGCGGGGCGGUG